Long non-coding RNA from Maniola jurtina (meadow brown), 93 nucleotides. RefSeq lists it as uncharacterized. The record is from RefSeq and is a predicted model, not a curated record. NCBI's taxonomy places the organism in Eukaryota, Metazoa, Arthropoda, Insecta, Lepidoptera, Nymphalidae. The transcript is spliced from 3 exons.
AUUAACUUAGGCGCAAAAUUGUCAUCAAUUUUGUGUUAAAAUAGGAAUCUUUCGAGGUUCAUAACUUUAAAACAAUUUUUUUUUUGAAUGAUU